UUUUUUUUCUCUAUAAAUAUGAGCAUGUUAUGUACAUUAAAAUUCCACAACCAAGCUACUACGAUCAUAUAAUCAAAACCAUGGCAAAAACAACUUCUUUGUGUUUCUCUCCACUUUUUCUUGGUCUUAUGUUCAUUUCUAUCGUCUUGAUGUGUUCUCAAGGUGUGAACGGCGAAAUCUAUUGUGUGGACUGGUCGAUGGAUACUUUUCAGACUGAUAAGAAUGGGGUUUGUGUAGAGUGGUGCAAAGCUGCCGCCACUAUUUUUAGAAUAACGACCAACUAUAUCCAUGAUAUAUUUAGCUUUGAAGCAACCAAAUGCUUAUGUUGCUGGGAAUAUUUUCUCUAAACUCAUAUAAUAUACUGUCUGCAGUCUGAUAAAUUCGUUUAGCAGUACGCCAGUACACCAGUAUAUAUUAUCUAGCUCAUCAGUUUCUACAAUAAUAUGAUCAGAGAUCACGUACGUAUUUCUUCAUCAGUUGUCUAGUGUAUGUCUAGAUCUCAUUACAGACAAUGUAUCGUGCCUACUUUUAUCAGUCCUGUGUGUUAUCCUUUAAUCAGCAUUUGAUCCUCUUUUUUUUCUUGGUAUUUUUAUAUCGUGUGAUAUUAUAUUUUAUGGGAAAAUAAAUUACAUGUA
This is a long non-coding RNA of Papaver somniferum (opium poppy), 635 nucleotides long. RefSeq lists it as uncharacterized. The transcript has 2 exons. Lineage: Eukaryota; Viridiplantae; Streptophyta; Magnoliopsida; Ranunculales; Papaveraceae. The record is from RefSeq and is a predicted model, not a curated record.